AUACGGAGGGUGCAAGCGUUGUUCGGAAUUAUUGGGCGUAAAGCGCGCGUAGGCGGGCUGUUAAGUCUGAUGUGAAAUCCCUCGGCUCAACCGAGGAACUGCAUUGGAUACUGGCAGUCUUGAGUCUCGGAGAGGAAAGCGGAAUUCCCAGUGUAGAGGUGAAAUUCGUAGAUAUUGGGAGGAACACCAGCGGCGAAGGCGGCUUUCUGGACGAUGACUGACGCUGAGGUGCGAAAGCAUGGGUAGCAAACAGGAUUAGAAACCCCAGUAGUCC
This 274-nucleotide ribosomal RNA is filed under the name uncultured bacterium. RNAcentral's name for it is "partial 16S ribosomal RNA". It matches the Rfam family "Bacterial small subunit ribosomal RNA", at positions 523 to 796 of the family's 1533-position model. The record is from RNAcentral.